Molecule: long non-coding RNA, 355 nt
Filed under: Ananas comosus (pineapple)
Lineage: Eukaryota; Viridiplantae; Streptophyta; Magnoliopsida; Poales; Bromeliaceae
Description: long non-coding RNA (ACOM_LNC028571)
Source: RNAcentral
GAGAAAUUUUAGUGGAGUUUAGGAUUAUUUUUUAGUAUCUUUACAAAUAUUAUAUUAGAUAAAAAUGUACAAAAUUUAUUCAAAUUAUGGACCAUUUUGAUUUAGCUAUUGAAUCUUUUAAAAUUUUAUUUUACUACCCAGUCUUUUAAUUUAUUUAUUUUGCGCCAGUCAAUCACAGUUUGACUUCAAAAUUUGAAUUUGUUGUUUAUAUUUACAAAUUUAGUUAGUAUAUUUUAUACAAUUCAAAACUAUAAACUUAUUAAAGUAAUUAGCAUAACUUUUAAAGUUAAAGUUUCGUUGACUGAUACAAAUCAAACAAACUAAAAAAUUGAAUAGUAAAAUCAAAGUUUUAAAA